AUUGAACGCUGGCGGCAUGCCUUACACAUGCAAGUCGAACGGCAGCACGGGUGCUUGCCCCUGGUGGCGAGUGGCGAACGGGUGAGUAAUACAUCGGAACAUGUCCCGUAGUGGGGGAUAGCCCGGCGAAAGCCGGAUUAAUACCGCAUACGAUCUACGGAUGAAAGCGGGGGACCUUCUGGCCUCGCGCUUUAGGGUUGGUCGAUGGCUGAUUAGCUAGUUGGUGGGGUAAAGGCCUACCAAGGCGACGAUCAGUAGCUGGUCUGAGAGGACGACCAGCCACACUGGGACUGAGACACGGCCCAGACUCCUACGGGAGGCAGCAGUGGGGAAUUUUGGACAAUGGGCGAAAGCCUGAUCCAGCAAUGCCGCGUGUGUGAAGAAGGCCUUCGGGUUGUAAAGCACUUUUGUCCGGAAAGAAAUCCUUGGCCCUAAUACGGUCGGGGGAUGACGGUACCGGAAGAAUAAGCACCGGCUAACUACGUG
Molecule: ribosomal RNA, 486 nt
Filed under: uncultured bacterium
Lineage: Bacteria
Description: partial 16S ribosomal RNA
Rfam family: Bacterial small subunit ribosomal RNA
Source: RNAcentral